AGUGUGCUUGCCAGGCGUUUGAUUGCUCAUGAGGCGAGUCCACAAUGCAGCGUCAGGUGUGUGUGUGUGUGUGUGUGUGUGUGUGUGUGUGUGUGUGACAGCUGUCAAGGGGAAAAGGUAAUACGGCUUAAUUAUGAAUCUCUCUCUCUCUCUCUCUCUCUCUCUCUCUCUCUCUCUCUCUCUCUCUCUCUCUCUCUCUCUCUCUCUCUCUCUCUCUCUCUCUCUUUCACAAGCCAGGCGUCCAGCAAAUCCCAGCUUAUCACCUGGGCUUGAAGGGCAGAGGCCGCACCGCGCCGCCACCACUCACGCUGCAGGUUCCAAUAUUAUUCUGUGUGGGCGCCACGCAUCUUACCGCCUUCCAACCAUCAAAUUUUGCCUGCUGUUUCACUCACAUCACGUUAAGGUGCCUUUAUUAACGGCAGAAAGCGGUGUCUUAUUAUUCAGUAGGCCUUCAUUAUUAUUCAGUGGCACUUUUUUUAAUUUUUCAGUGGGCGCCUAUUAUUAAAUUUUUUUCCCCCUUCACCGGUGGGCCUACUACAUAGAAAAAAAUAAUAAACAUCGCUUUCUUCGGGUGUUACGUCCAGUUCUCCAUAAACACAAUUUUUUCCUCAUUACGUCUCGCACUAGGUCACGUGAUGCUUCGUCUGAAAGUGUCGUGACUCUUAUUCUUAAAUAUUUUUUUCUCUUUCCUAUAAAAGCUAUCUUCAAAUGCAUCAAAAAUAACUGACGUCUUUUAUUCUCAAUUCAUGGUAAAUAAUCCUUCUUUUUUUUUUCAAAGAUUUUUAGGAAUUUGAUUACUUUUAUAUACCUUUGUUCAUGAUUCACGUUCUUCUCUUAUAAUACUGAAUACUGAGUAACUGGCCGGGCAUGAGGCAACGAGCAGGGUGAUGUGCUUCGUCGCAGGAGUGAAGGCAGGUGGUGUUUCCCGCCGUAAGCAUCAGGUGUUGCUGACAGGCGCUCAUUGUCAUCCGCGCUCAGUGCCAACCCAUCGUAUUUCAGAGCGACUCCUCAAUCCGACCGGGGACUCCAGGGCGCCUCACAACAGGAAUGACUUGUGUGGAUCAUGAGUAUUGCUGUAUCAACCUGCACCUGGAAGGGCAGGAUGGAGGGGCCAGCCAUCCAGACUUCCAGGAGUGGGCUUAAAGAACGACCAUCCCAACUUCCAGGCCAACCAUCCAGACCUACCUAAGUCUACAGACCCUCCAAGAAUAACUCUAUAGGCCAAUUACCUAAGCCUUUAUUGGUAGGCCUAUAUGUCCCCAUCUAAAAACUACGACUUUUACUACUAUUAUUACUACUACCAACUACUACUAUUACUACUACUCCUACUACUAGAACCGCUACGCUGCUCUUACUACUGCUACUACUACUACUACUCCUACUACUAGAACCGCUACGCUGUUACUACUACUACUACUACUACUACUAGAACCGCUACGCUGCUAUUACUACUGCUACUACUACUAUUACUACUACUACUACUAGAACAGCUACUACUACUACUACUACUACUACUAUUACUGCUACUACUACAACAACAAACACUUUCUACCAAUACUACUAGAACCGCUACUACUACUGCUGCUACUACUACAACUACUACUACUACUACUAUUACUUUUAUUGUCUAUUCUCAGUUAGCCAUGAGCCGAUUAAAAGAAGGAUGAAUAACUAAAAAAAAAAAAAAAAUAACAACAAAAACACGAAAAAAAAAAUAUAUAAGUAAUAAAGUAACUCACUAAUAAAGACAAAUUCACAGCUCAUUGUAAUUUAUAUUGAGUAUGAAAUCUGUAUAUUACCUCAAGAAUAACAAUAUCACGUACCUACACAUGAAGUAUUCCGUCAAGGCAGCAACACCCAUAUAAAUAAAUACUGUAUUUAGUGACGCAUACAAAAUACAGAAAGAUUAUCAAGAAUAUUAGCGUAAAAGACUCAGUACUAUAUAAACAAGUCUACUAUUGCUCGUCUAAAGUAGAGUUAUUUGAAUCGAUAUCAGUUCUACGAGGUUUCCAGAGAGAGAGAGAGAGAGAGAGAGAGAGAGAGAGAGAGAGAGAGAGAGAGAGAGAGAGAGAGAGAGAGAGAGA
This is a long non-coding RNA of Scylla paramamosain (green mud crab), 2084 nucleotides long. RefSeq lists it as uncharacterized. NCBI's taxonomy places the organism in Eukaryota, Metazoa, Arthropoda, Malacostraca, Decapoda, Portunidae. The record is from RefSeq and is a predicted model, not a curated record. The transcript is spliced from 2 exons.